GUCGAGCGGCAGCGGGAAAGUAGCUUGCUACUUUUGCCGGCGAGCGGCGGACCGUUGAGUAAUGCCUGGGAAAUUGCCCAGUCGAGGGGGAUAACACUUGGAAACGACUGCUAAUACCGCAUACGCCCUACGGGGGAAAGCAGGGGACCUUCGGGCCUUGCGCGAUUGGAUAUGCCCAGGUGGGAUUAGCUAGUUGGUGAGGUAAUGGCUCACCAAGGCGACGAUCCCUAGCUGGUCUGAGAGGAUGAUCAGCCACACUGGAACUGAGACACGGUCCAGACUCCUACGGGAGGCAGCAGUGGGGAAUAUUGCACAAUGGGGGAAACCCUGAUGCAGCCAUGCCGCGUGUGUGAAGAAGGUCUUCGGAUUGUAAAGCACUUUAAGUUGGGAGGAAGGGCAUUAACCUAAUACGUUAGUGUUUUGACGUUACCGACAGAAUAAGCACCGGCUAACUCUGUGCCAGCAGCCGCGGUAAUACAGAGGGUGCAAGCGUUAAUCGGAAUUACUGGGCGUAAAGCGCGCGUAGGUGGUUUGUUAAGUUGAAUGUGAAAGCCCCGGGCUCAACCUGGGAACUGCAUCCAAAACUGGCAAGCUAGAGUACGGUAGAGGGUGGUGGAAUUUCCUGUGUAGCGGUGAAAUGCGUAGAUAUAGGAAGGAACACCAGUGGCGAAAGCGACCACCUGGACUGAUACUGACACUGAGGUGCGAAAGCGUGGGGAGCAAACAGGGUUAAAUACCCUGGUAGUCCACGCCGCAAACGAUGUCAACUAACCGGUGGGAAUCUUGAGAUUUUAAUGGGGCGGGUAACGCAUUAAGUUGACCCCCCGGGGAGAACCGGGCCCAAGGUUAAACAA
This 854-nucleotide ribosomal RNA is filed under the name uncultured bacterium. RNAcentral's name for it is "bacterial SSU rRNA". It matches the Rfam family "Bacterial small subunit ribosomal RNA", at positions 61 to 899 of the family's 1533-position model. The record is from RNAcentral.